RNAcentral lists this transfer RNA (73 nucleotides) under Alosa alosa (allis shad). RNAcentral's name for it is "tRNA-OTHER". The record is from RNAcentral. Lineage: Eukaryota; Metazoa; Chordata; Actinopteri; Clupeiformes; Clupeidae.
GCCGUGGCCUACUGGUUAGCGCUUCGGACUUGGAACUUCGAGGGUUGCCGGUUCAAACCCUGACCAGUAGGCA